CCAGCUCAAUAGAUUUAUAAGUCUGUCUUUUUCACAAACAACAAUCUUCAUAGCCUCUAAUAAAUUUGAACAGAGGUAGUAAUAAAUCAAUCAAUCUAGGGUGGUUUUGCAAUCGGAAAUUGUUUUCAUUUGAGUGACCAUUGGCGGCGGAGAAUGACAGAGAGGGGCAAAACCACCCAUUGAAACUCCCUACAGCUCUCUGCUUUCACCGCUGCCUCAGACUUAAACUAAUGAGAUUUUUGCUAUUUUCAUGUUAUCGCGGCUUCUUAUAUAUUGUGCCCUAAUCAGUUGGGCCUCAUUUCAAAAGCCCAUUCAGAAUCUAAAUCGAGUCGAACUGAAACCAAUAUUCGGAUCCACCGUUUCAAAUCAUUGGGAAAAAAACAGGAUUAGGGCUUCUGAGCAAAAAAACAUACAACUCGAUUUUGCCGGAAAAUGGAGUGAAAUUGAGGCUCAGAUCUGUGUUUAUGCUCAGGCAAAAAGAGAGUCCGGCGACGCCAUGGCUGCAAAAACCCACCGGGCAAUGCCCCGCCAAGAUACGGGUCGGAUUAUCUCAAAAUGCCCCGAUUAAUUAAUGAGCUCAGAAGGGAAUUAAAUUUUUUUUUUAAAAUCAUCAUCGCCUCUUUUACACCGUCGAUUAUACUCACCACCACCACUUCCACCGCCAGCACCGGCAGCAUUAAAUGCUCCGGCAGAAGCGUAAAAGAGAGAAAGAAAGAAAAAAGGCAUACUGCAUUGAAGAUUCAAACGAUACUAUUUGUGUAAAUCUCCUUAUGUAUCAACAGCGGCUCUAAAAUCGCAAUAAAAGGGCUGUUGGGAUAGUUUGAGAAAUCAUAGGCUAAUAAUGCAGAGAGAGACAACCGCCCUUUCAAUGAAAAAUCCUACAAUUCUCUGUAGCCUCAUUCUCUCCCUUCCAAGCUUUGUUACAUUUCUUUAGAACUUUUUGUUCGUUUUUUGGACUUUGGUAAUCUGGUUAUUUAUACUACCUAGUCAAUCGUAUUUUAAAAGGGGUUUUUUUAAACCCUAAACUUGAAACUGAAAUUUACCAUUAGAAAAGUGGAAACAAGAUGGAGAAUUCCAAGUAUAAUUUUCAAAAUCUUACCCAGAAAAAGAUUCGGCGGCUUCUUGAUCCUUGAAGAGAGAGACGUGUGAAGGAUGAAAUUUGUUUUGGGUUUAGAAGAAAUAGCCUGAUAUCAAGAGAGAGAAAAGGAGCACCGAAAAAAGAGGCGUGUAUUUUUAGUAUUUUUAACCUCUGAACGGAAUUAAGACUUCUUUAGGUCAAUCACAAAGUGUGCCAAAAAACCAAUAAAAACAAGCAAUCUCAAGAAAAACCAACAGCACAAACUCAAUAUACACAAUUAGUGUGUAUUCACAAAACAAGCAACAACUGCAAAAUUUGCUUAAAUUAUACAACGAGAUUACUUCCUAAUAAAUGUAUUGCCUUCCUUGUAAAGGUCUAUGAUUUUAGCUUUUAACUUGUAACACCAACUGCAGAGCUCCUGCAUAAAUAGAUGCAGUGGCAAUACAUUGUUUUUAAAGUUGAGUAAUCGAAUUACAGGAUAAUGCUAAUGAGAUCAUGGACUUCACCGAUAAGGAUUAGUUGGGAAAAAAUAUCUCAGCAACAAAGUAACCCAAAAUAGACAUUAGUAUUCAAAUGCCUAGAUUUCUAGACAAAAGGAAACACAUUUAGGCACAUCCAUGUCAAAGAAGCAGGAAUUCUGAUUCUUUUCAGAAUUCGAAAACAGAGAACAUAAGGGCUAAAGUAUCAGAAAGUACCUCUUUAGCAUAUAAAAACAGAGAACAUAAGGGCUAAAGUACCUCUUUAGCAUAUGAUGCCGAUGAUUCGACAAAGAAAAAUAUUAAGGCACACCCAUCUCAGAGCAAGAGCAUACCAAGUCAUUAGAUUUUAAAAAGAAGUGGGAAAUAGGAUUAAUAUCAAAAAGAACAUAUUUACCAACAAAGAAACUCAAAAAUAGAUUUUACUUGUUUGCAUUCUGAUUCUUAGAAUUAUAGUGAAAAGAAACCAUUUUUAGGCACACCCAUAUCAAAGAAGCAGUAUUAUCAUUCAACACAGAGAGUUCAUAAACAAUGAAAAAUAGGCUAGAGUAUCAAGAUGUACAUCUUUCGCAAUAAAGUUAAUUCUCAAAUAGAACUUAGCAUUCACAUUCCUAGAGCUUCAAAAGGAGAGAAUUUGUUGUUUGCUUUCUUAUUUGAUCUUUGGCCAUCAAUUAUUUUUGCUACCAUCACCAUUUAUCGUUCAAUUACUAAAAUUCAGAUACUGAAAACAUUGGAGAAAUUAUUCCAGAACAUUUUGGAAAAUCAAACUAGUUUUAGACUGAUAUGAAUACCUUCAAGCUAAGAAUUAUUUCCACAAUGCUUCUCCAAGAGUUACAGUCUCAAAAGUGAACCAAAAGUUAAAUUGAGGUAUGAGCUCGGAUUGUUUCCUAUGUCAUCAAGUAGCAGAGAAAAAAGCAAAAAGCAAAAACCAAAAUCAACAGCAAUGGGGUAGGCUCAGAUUCGCCUUUUCUCAGACAAAACCCAAAAAGCUUUGGAAAAAACUGCCAUGGCUGCAAGCAUAAGUUAGUCUUAUGAGACAGGAAAAAACACCCAAAAAAUGGAUUUUCUCCAAUAUCUCAUAGACUCACGAGGUAGGGUAAGCUCUGCCUAUAUUUUGUUGUUGUUGUUACAUCUCAUAGACAUAUCUGAGCUGCCAUGCCAUGAUACAAGUUUUACCAGCUCAAUAGAUUUAUAAGUCUGUCUUUUUCACAAACAACAAUCUUCAUAGCCUCUAAUAAAUUUGAACAGAGGGAGAAAUAAAUCAAUCAACCUAGGGUGGUUUUGCAAUCGGAAAAUUUUCAUUUGAGUGAUCAUCGGCACCGAAGAAUGACAGAGAGGGGCAAAACCACCCAUUGAAACUCCCUACAGCUCUCUGCUUUCAC
Molecule: long non-coding RNA, 2936 nt
Filed under: Nicotiana tabacum (common tobacco)
Lineage: Eukaryota; Viridiplantae; Streptophyta; Magnoliopsida; Solanales; Solanaceae
Description: long non-coding RNA (NTAB_LNC000151)
Source: RNAcentral